AUUGAACGCUGGCGGCAGGCCUAAUACAUGCAAGUCGAGCGAGCGGCGGACGGGUGAGUAAUGUCUGGGAAACUGCCUGAUCGAGGGGGAUAACUACUGGAAACGGUAGCUAAUACCGCAUACUAUCAGAUGUGCCCAGAUGGGAUUAGCUAGUAGGGGGGGUAACGGCCCACCUAGGCUACGAUCCCUAGUUGGUCGGAGAGGAUGACCAGCCACACUGUGGCGGAGACACGGUCCAGAAUCCUACGGGAGGCAGCAGUGGGGAGUAUUUGACAAGAAGCGCAAGCCUGAAGCAGCCAUGCCGCGUGUGUGAGGAGGGCCUUCGGGUUGUAGAGCACUUUCAGCGUGGAGGCGUUACCCACAGAAGAAGCACCGGCUAACUCCGUGCCAGCAGCCGCGGUAAUUC
This 406-nucleotide ribosomal RNA is filed under the name uncultured bacterium. RNAcentral's name for it is "partial 16S ribosomal RNA". It matches the Rfam family "Bacterial small subunit ribosomal RNA", at positions 30 to 526 of the family's 1533-position model. The record is from RNAcentral.